This 210-nucleotide ribosomal RNA is filed under the name uncultured bacterium. RNAcentral's name for it is "partial 16S ribosomal RNA". It matches the Rfam family "Bacterial small subunit ribosomal RNA", at positions 1293 to 1500 of the family's 1533-position model. The record is from RNAcentral.
UCGGAUUGUAGUCUGCAACCCGACUACAUGAAGCUGGAAUCGCUAGUAAUCGCAGGUCAGCAUACUGCGGUGAAUACGUUCCCGGGUCUUGUACACACCGCCCGUCACACCAUGGGAGCCGGAAAUGCCCGAAGCCAGUGACCCCAACCUUAGGGAGGGAGCUGUCGAAGGUGGAGCCGGUAACUGGGGGUGAAGUCGUAACAAGGUAUC